AAAGAUUUUAAAUUAGUCCAGAGAGGCUAGUAAGUCGGUAUAUCGAAUUGUAAAUAAAUGAACUUUAUUUACUAUAAGUGUAGCCGCUAGGUCUCUCAGACUUAGCGGCUUUUUUUG
The sequence is a regulatory RNA element, 117 nucleotides long. It matches the Rfam family "PyrR binding site". Rfam says of the family: This family represents the PyrR binding site and terminator structure. The record is from Rfam.